RNAcentral lists this ribosomal RNA (285 nucleotides) under Triticum aestivum (bread wheat). Its description in RNAcentral is "partial small subunit ribosomal RNA". The record is from RNAcentral. Lineage: Eukaryota; Viridiplantae; Streptophyta; Magnoliopsida; Poales; Poaceae.
AUGGAGAGGGGAGAAGGAAGUGGACCGGUUGAUCCAGUUGAUAAGUUGCUAGAGAAGCUGCAUCUGCAUGAAGAAGAGGACGAGGGUUUCCUCUGGGAAGAGGUGGCUGAACCGCCUGCCCGUGUAAAGUGGCUAGCGAUCGCGAAGGUACACACCAUCAGAGGAUUCAGCCCCAGCGCUCUAUAUGCAGAUAUGCGAUCUUCUUGGAACCCAGCGAAGGAGGUGAUUUGGAGGCGGGUGGAUGACAACCUGUUCACCACGCAAUUUGGAUGCCUGGGGGAUUGG